This 510-nucleotide ribosomal RNA is filed under the name uncultured bacterium. RNAcentral describes it as "bacterial SSU rRNA". It matches the Rfam family "Bacterial small subunit ribosomal RNA", at positions 999 to 1509 of the family's 1533-position model. The record is from RNAcentral.
GGCAGAGAUGCCUUGGUGCCUUCGGGAGCGCUGAGACAGGUGCUGCAUGGCUGUCGUCAGCUCGUGUUGUGAAAUGUUGGGUUAAGUCCCGCAACGAGCGCAACCCUUAUCCUUUGUUGCCAGCGAUUCGGUCGGGAACUCAAAGGAGACUGCCGGUGAUAAACCGGAGGAAGGUGGGGAUGACGUCAAGUCAUCAUGGCCCUUACGAGUAGGGCUACACACGUGCUACAAUGGCGCAUACAAAGAGAAGCGAUCUCGCGAGAGCAAGCGGACCUCAUAAAGUGCGUCGUAGUCCGGAUCGGAGUCUGCAACUCGACUCCGUGAAGUCGGAAUCGCUAGUAAUCGUGGAUCAGAAUGCCACGGUGAAUACGUUCCCGGGCCUUGUACACACCGCCCGUCACACCAUGGGAGUGGGUUGCAAAAGAAGUAGGUAGCUUAACCUCCGGGAGGGCGCUUACCACUUUGUGAUUCAUGACUGGGGUGAAGUCGUAACAAGGUAAGCGUAGUGCU